CUACGGGCGGCAGCAGUCGCGGAACCUUUACACUGCGCGAAAGCGUGAUAGGGGGAUUUCGAGUGGUCACACUGUGACCUUUUGCCAAACGUAAAAAGUUUGGCGAAUAAAGAGGGGGUAAUAUACGUGCCAGCCGCCGCGGUAAUACGUAACCUCUAAGUGGUUUCCACUUGUAUUGGGCCUAAAACACCUGUAGCCUGUGCAAUCAGUCUUUGGUGAAAUCAAACAGCUCAACUGUUUAAAUUGCUAAAGAUACUGUUGUGCUUGGGGAAGGAAGACGUGAAGGGAAUUUUUGGGGUAACGGUGAAAUGUGAUGAUCCCAAAAAGACCACCAGUAGCGAAGGCGCUUCACGAGGACUAUCCCGACGGUGAGAGAUGAAAGCUGGGGGAGCGACCAGGAUUAGAUACCCCUGUAGUC
Molecule: ribosomal RNA, 418 nt
Filed under: uncultured archaeon
Lineage: Archaea
Description: partial 16S ribosomal RNA
Rfam family: Archaeal small subunit ribosomal RNA
Source: RNAcentral